GAUGAACGCUGGCUACAGGCUUAACACAUGCAAGUCGAGGGGAAACGACGGGGAAGCUUGCUUCCCCGGGCGUCGACCGGCGCACGGGUGAGUAACGCGUAUCCAACCUGCCUCUGACUGAGGGAUAACCCGUCGAAAGUCGGCCUAAUACCUCAUGGUAUCGUCUCCGGGCAUCCAACGACGAUUAAAGAUUUCAUCGGUCAGGGAUGGGGUUGCGUCUGAUUAGCUUGUUGGCGGGGUAACGGCCCACCAAGGCUACGAUCAGUAGGGGUUCUGAGAGGAAGGUCCCCCGCAUUGGAACUGAGACACGGUCCAAACUCCGACGGGAGGCAGCAGUAAGGAAUAGUGGGCAAUGGGCGAGAGCCUGAACCAGCCAAGUAGCGUGCAGGAAGACGGCCCUAUGAGUUGUAAACUGCUUUUAUGCGGGGAUAAAGUGAGGGACGUGUCCCUCAUUGCAGGUACCGAAUGAAUAAGGACCGGCUAAUUCCGUG
This 491-nucleotide ribosomal RNA is filed under the name uncultured bacterium. RNAcentral's name for it is "partial 16S ribosomal RNA". It matches the Rfam family "Bacterial small subunit ribosomal RNA", at positions 28 to 507 of the family's 1533-position model. The record is from RNAcentral.